RNAcentral lists this ribosomal RNA (1251 nucleotides) under Paranchistus sp. OUMNH ZC 2011-05-044. RNAcentral's name for it is "SSU rRNA". It matches the Rfam family "Eukaryotic small subunit ribosomal RNA", at positions 58 to 1262 of the family's 1831-position model. Lineage: Eukaryota; Metazoa; Arthropoda; Malacostraca; Decapoda; Palaemonidae. The record is from RNAcentral.
UGUCAGUACAGGCCGCUCUAAGGCGAAACCGCGAAUGGCUCAUUAAAUCAGUUAUAAUUCAAUAGAUCCAAACCUAUUACUCGGAUAACCCUGGUAAUUCUAGAGCUAAUACGUGACGAUUACAACUCCGACUGGAAGGGAGGAGUGCUUUUAUUAGUUGAAAACCAAUCGGGCCUCGGUCCGUUCACUUUACUGUGAUGACUCUGAAUAACUUUGUGCCGAGAGCACGGUCUCCGCACCGGCUCCGUAUCUUUCGAGUUUCUGCCUUAUCAUGCUGUGGAUUGUAGGCCAUGCGCCUACAGUGGCUGUUACGGGUGACGGAGAAUCAGGGUUCGAUUCCGGAGAGGGAGCCUGAGAAACGGCUACCACAUCCAAGGAAGGCAGCAGGCACGCAAAUUACCCAAUCCCAGCUCUGGGAGGUAGUGACGAAAAAUAACAAUGCGGGACUCUUCCGAGUCUGCGUAAUUGGAAUGAGCACACUUUAAAUCCUUUAGCAACAACCAAUUGGAGGGCAAGUCUGGUGCCAGCAGCCGCGGUAAUUCCAGCUCCAAUAGCGUAUAUUAAAGUUGUUGCGGUUAAAAAGCUCGUAGUUCGAGCUCAGUUCCGGACUGGCCGGGGAGGUCACCGCCCGGUGCUUCCCCGUCAGGCUCCGAACAGCUUCCCUGAGCGGAAGCCAAGCCGGUUCUGCCGGGGUGCUCUUUACCGAGUGUCCCGCGCGGCCGGCCAGUUCACCUUGAAUAAAUGAGAGUGCUCAAAGCAGGCUACUCUCGAAUAUAACGCCCGAAUGUUACCUGCAUGGAAUGAUGGAAGAUGAUCUCGGUUCCAUUUUAUUGGUGGUGGGAGCCAGAGGUAAUGAUAAACAGGGACUGUCGGGGGCAUCCGUACUACGACGCGAGAGGUGAAAUUCAGUGACCGUCGUAGGACGAACAACAGCGAAAGCAUUUGCCAAGAAUGUCUUCGUUGAUCAAGAACGAAAGUUAGAGGAUCGAAGGCGAUCAGAUACCGCCCUAGUUCUAACCCUAAACGAUGCUGACUAGCAAUUCGCCGUCGUUAUUCCCAUGACGUGGCGAGACGCCCCCGGGAAACCUCAAGUCUUUGAGUUCCGGGGGUAGUAUGGUUGCAAAACUGAAACUUAAAGGAAUUGACGGAAGGGCACCACCAGGAGUGGAGCCUGCGGCUUAAUUUGACUCAACACGGGAAACCUCACCAGGCCCGGACACCAGAAGGAUUGACAGAUUAAGAGCUCUUUCU